UUAUAACACUAAUGGAGCUAGUCCAAGCUAAGACCCCUA
This 39-nucleotide transfer RNA is filed under the name Osteolaemus tetraspis (dwarf crocodile). RNAcentral's name for it is "partial tRNA-Arg". The record is from RNAcentral. Lineage: Eukaryota; Metazoa; Chordata; Crocodylia; Crocodylidae.